RNAcentral lists this non-coding RNA (29 nucleotides) under Mus musculus (house mouse). Lineage: Eukaryota; Metazoa; Chordata; Mammalia; Rodentia; Muridae. The record is from RNAcentral.
UGCCUGCCCUGUUUCCUAAUUGGAUCACC